This 330-nucleotide unclassified non-coding RNA is filed under the name soil metagenome. RNAcentral describes it as "partial contains 5.8S ribosomal RNA, internal transcribed spacer 2, and large subunit ribosomal RNA". The stretch from base 1 to 121 matches the Rfam family "5.8S ribosomal RNA", at positions 35 to 154 of the family's 154-position model. The record is from RNAcentral.
GAUGAAGAACGUAGCGAAAUGCGAUAAGUAAUGCGAAUUGCAGAAUUCCAGUGAGUCAUCGAAUCUUUGAACGCACAUUGCGCCCCUUGGUAUUCCGAGGGGCAUGCCUGUUCGAGCGUCAUUAUAACCCCUCAAGCUCAGCUUGGUGUUGGGGCCUGCUGCACUGGCAGCCCUUAAAAUCAGUGGCGGCGCCAUCUGGCUCUAAGCGUAGUAAUUCUUCUCGCUAUGGAGUCCUGGUGGAUGCUUGCCAUCAACCCCCAAUUUUUCUAUGGUUGACCUCGGAUCAGGUAGGGAUACCCGCUGAACUUAAGCAUAUCAAUAAGCGGAGGA